UGGGGAAUAUUGCACAAUGGGCGCAAGCCUGAUGCAGCCAUGCCGCGUGUGUGAAGAAGGCCUUCGGGUUGUAAAGCACUUUCAGCGGGGAGGAAGGCGUUAAGGUUAAUAACCUUGGCGAUUGACGUUACCCGCAGAAGAAGCACCGGCUAACUCCGUGCCAGCAGCCGCGGUAAUACGGAGGGUGCAAGCGUUAGUCGGAAUUACUGGGCGUAAAGCGCACGCAGGCGGUCUGUCAAGUCGGAUGUGAAAUCCCCGGGCUCAACCUGGGAACUGCAUUCGAAACUUGCAGGCUAGAGUCUUGUAGAGGGGGGUAGAAUUCCAGGUGUAGCGGUGAAAUGCGUAGAGAUCUGGAGGAAUACCGGUGGCGAAGGCGGGCCCCUGGACAAAGACUGACGCUCAGGUGCGAAAGCGUGGGGAGCAAACAGG
This 429-nucleotide ribosomal RNA is filed under the name Chloroflexota bacterium. Its description in RNAcentral is "Chloroflexi bacterium partial 16S ribosomal RNA". It matches the Rfam family "Bacterial small subunit ribosomal RNA", at positions 355 to 776 of the family's 1533-position model. Lineage: Bacteria; Bacillati; Chloroflexota. The record is from RNAcentral.